RNAcentral lists this ribosomal RNA (482 nucleotides) under uncultured bacterium. RNAcentral describes it as "partial 16S ribosomal RNA". It matches the Rfam family "Bacterial small subunit ribosomal RNA", at positions 30 to 506 of the family's 1533-position model. The record is from RNAcentral.
AUUGAACGCUGGCGGCAGGCCUAACACAUGCAAGUCGAGCGGAUGAAGGGAGCUUGCGCCUGGAUUCAGCGGCGGACGGGUGAGUAAUGCCUAGGAAGCUGCCUGGUAGUGGGGGAUAACGUCAGGAAACGGGCGCUAAUACCGCAUACGUCCUGAGGGAGAAAGUGGGGGAUCUUCGGACAUCACGCUAUCAGAUGAGCCUAGGUCGGAUUAUCUAGUUGGUGGGGUAAGGCCUCCCAGGGGGACGAACCGUAACGGGUUUGAAUGGAUGACCAGUAAAACUGGAACUGAGAACCGGCCAAGCUCCCUCCGGGAGGCAGCAGUGGGAAAUAUUGGACAUUGGGCGAACGCCUGCUCCAGCAAUGCCGCGUGUGUGAAGAAGGUCUUCGGUUUGUAAAGCACUUUAAGUUGGAAGAAAGGGCAGUAAGUUAAUACCUUGCUGUUUUGACGUUACCAAAAGAAGAAGCACCGGCUAACUACGU